AUCUGUGGCCAUGCCACCCUGAACACACAAAUCUCGUCUGAUCUCGGAAGCUAAGCAGGAUCGAGCCUGGUUAGUACUUGGAUGGGAGACCACCUAGGAAUACCGGGUGUUGUAGGCA
RNAcentral lists this ribosomal RNA (118 nucleotides) under Pteropus alecto (black flying fox). Lineage: Eukaryota; Metazoa; Chordata; Mammalia; Chiroptera; Pteropodidae. The record is from RNAcentral.